Molecule: ribosomal RNA, 253 nt
Filed under: uncultured bacterium
Lineage: Bacteria
Description: partial 16S ribosomal RNA
Rfam family: Bacterial small subunit ribosomal RNA
Source: RNAcentral
UACGUAGGGACCAAGCGUUGUUCGGAUUUACUGGGCGUAAAGGGCGCGUAGGCGGCGUAUCAAGUCAAUUGUGAAAUCUCCGGGCUUAACUCGGAACGGUCAAUUGAUACUGAUGUGCUAGAGUGCAGAAAGGGCAGCUGGAAUUCUUGGUGUAGCGGUGAAAUGCGUAGAUACCAAGAGGAACACCUGAGGCGAAGGCGAGUUGCUAGGCUGACACUGACGCUGAGGCGCGAAAGCUAGGGGAGCGAACGGG